Molecule: ribosomal RNA, 500 nt
Filed under: uncultured bacterium
Lineage: Bacteria
Description: partial 16S ribosomal RNA
Rfam family: Bacterial small subunit ribosomal RNA
Source: RNAcentral
AUUGAACGCUGGCGGCAUGCUUUACACAUGCAAGUCGAACGGUAACAGGGUGCUUGCACCGCUGACGAGUGGCGAACGGGUGAGUAAUGCGUCGGAACGUGCCGAGUAGUGGGGGAUAACGCAGCGAAAGUUGUGCUAAUACCGCAUACGUACUGAGGUAGAAAGUGGGGGACCUUCGGGCCUCACGCUAUUCGAGCGGCCGACCUCUGAUUAGCUAGUAGGUGAGGUAAAGGCUCACCUAGGCGACGAUCAGUAGCGGGUCUGAGAGGAUGAUCCGCCACACUGGGACUGAGACACGGCCCAGACUCCUACGGGAGGCAGCAGUGGGGAAUUUUGGACAAUGGGCGAAAGCCUGAUCCAGCCAUGCCGCGUGCCUGAAGAAGGCCUUCGGGUUGUAAAGGACUUUUGUCAGGGAGGAAAUCCCUAGUGCUAAUAACACUGGGGGAUGACAGUACCUGAAGAAUAAGCACCGGCUAACUACGUGCCAGCCGCCGCAGUAA